AGUGAACGCUGGCGGUAGGCCUAACACAUGCAAGUCGAACGGCAGCACAGUAAGAGCUUGCUCUUACGGGUGGCGAGUGGCGGACGGGUGAGGAAUACAUCGGAAUCUACUUUUUCGUGGGGGAUAACGUAGGGAAACUUACGCUAAUACCGCAUACGACCUACGGGUGAAAGCAGGGGAUCUUCGGACCUUGCGCGAUUGAAUGAGCCGAUGUCGGAUUAGCUAGUUGGCGGGGUAAAGUCCCACCAAGGCGACGAUCCGUAGCUGGUCUGAGAGGAUGAUCAGCCACACUGGAACUGAGACACGGUCCAGACUCCUACGGGAGGCAGCAGUGGGGAAUAUUGGACAAUGGGCGCAAGCCUGAUCCAGCCAUACCGCGUGGGUGAAGAAGGCCUUCGGGUUGUAAAGCCCUUUUGUUGGGAAAGAAAAGCAGCAGGUUAAUACCCCGCUGUUCCGACGGUACCCAAAGAAUAAGCACCGGCUAACUUCGUG
This 492-nucleotide ribosomal RNA is filed under the name uncultured bacterium. RNAcentral's name for it is "partial 16S ribosomal RNA". It matches the Rfam family "Bacterial small subunit ribosomal RNA", at positions 29 to 507 of the family's 1533-position model. The record is from RNAcentral.